GAUGAACGCUAGCGACAGGCCUAACACAUGCAAGUGAGGGGUAACAUUAUUAAAGCUUGCUUUAAUAGAUGACGACCGGCGCACGGGUGCGUAACGCGUAUGCAACCUACCCAUUACAGGAGGAUAGCCCAGAGAAAUUUGGAUUAAUACUCCAUAGUAUUUACUGAAAGCAUUUUUAGUAUUUUAAAAGAUUCGUCUGGUAAUGGAUGGGCAUGCGUAUGAUUAGUUAGUUGGUAGGGUAACGGCCUACCAAGACGACGAUCAUUAGGGGUUCUGAGAGGAUAGUCCCCCACACUGGUACUGAGACACGGACCAGACUCCUACGGGAGGCAGCAGUGAGGAAUAUUGGUCAAUGGGCGAGAGCCUGAACCAGCCAAGUCGCGUGCAGGACGACUGCCCUAUGGGUUGUAAACUGCUUUUAUAUAGGAAUAAUUGUUUUUACGUGUAAGAAUUUGAAUGUACUAUAUGAAUAAGCACCGGCUAACUCCGUGCCAGCAGCCGCGGUAAUACGGAGGGUGCAAGCGUUAUCCGGAUUUAUUGGGUUUAAAGGGUGCGUAGGCGGGUUCAUAAGUCAGUGGUGAAAGUCUGUCGCUUAACGAUAGAAUUGCCAUUGAAACUGUGGAUCUUGAAUACAGUAGAGGUAGGCGGAAUAUAUUGUGUAGCGGUGAAAUGCAUAGAUACGAUAUAGAACACCUAUUGCGAAGGCAGCUUACUAUGCUGUAAUUGACGCUGAUGCACGAAAGCGUGGGGAGCGAACAGG
Molecule: ribosomal RNA, 760 nt
Filed under: uncultured bacterium
Lineage: Bacteria
Description: bacterial SSU rRNA
Rfam family: Bacterial small subunit ribosomal RNA
Source: RNAcentral